Mauremys mutica (yellowpond turtle) is the source of this 443-nucleotide long non-coding RNA. RefSeq lists it as uncharacterized. The transcript is spliced from 3 exons. NCBI's taxonomy places the organism in Eukaryota, Metazoa, Chordata, Testudines, Geoemydidae. The record is from RefSeq and is a predicted model, not a curated record.
AAGAGACGUCAUUGGGCAGCAGCAGCCCGGCGGGCGCCCGGAGAGAGGAUCGCGAAGGAGCGGCCCGAGGAGGGGGCGGCCGCCGAGCCGAGCUGGGCAGGGCAGGGUUCCCCGGGAAGGCGGACGCGCCUGAUGGAUGGCGGGGCCCCGCCCUAGGGGCUGGCCGGAGAGCGAAGCGCUCGGGUGCAGGGGCCGGAGGUGGAAGAUCUUGGAAAGCAGGGCCGAGUGCAGCUCGGGAAACGGAGCAGACAGGUGGGGAGAAAGAGGCACAGAGAAGUUAAAUGACUUUUUCAAGGUCACAGAGUUCCUGACCAGUACUCAGAUAUGAGGGCUUGAAGGGACCUCGAGAAGUCAUCAAGUCCAGGCCCCUGAAGAAGCAGGACCAAGUAAACCUAGGCCAUCCCUGACAGGUCCAACCUGUUCUUACAAAACCUCCUGUGAUG